Long non-coding RNA from Fukomys damarensis (Damara mole-rat), 2823 nucleotides. Lineage: Eukaryota; Metazoa; Chordata; Mammalia; Rodentia; Bathyergidae. The record is from Ensembl.
CUCUGGCAUAAAAGCUAUGUCUGGGGAGGAGCGAUGGAAGCUAAUACAGCUUCUCCUCCUGGGAGAACUGCUGCCUGCGUUUGUAGUUCACCCUGUGGGUCUGCAGUGAGAAACAGCACAGUAGAAAAAGAUCUCUGAGCCCAGCGGGGGAGGUGGACCCAUUGCAGCUGCCUAAGGGGAGGCAGGCGGGGAGCUCCAGCCCCCAGCAUCUCGUGGUACUGAGUCCUUGCUGCCUUUUCUCCACAGAUGAAGAUGGCAAAUAAAUGCUGCUCUCCUGGCAACCAGGUGGUGCACAUGGGGUGGGUGUACGAGAGGCUGCAGGGAGCUGACUCCCCCCAGACCUUUGCAUCAAAGUUCCUGGCACUGAAGGGCUCGUCCGUCUACAUCCUCUGCUCUCCUCCGCUCUACAGGAAUCCACUUCUGUCUUCCGGUUCCAGCACCUGUUCAGAUGUCGUAGUUUUCCUGACAGAGAUGAUCAGUGGGCUUGGAGGUACGUUGUGGACCCUGCCUGACAGCUUGCUGGGAAAAGGAGCCGCUCCGUCUGUGAAUCUGACCACAAGGACAGUGAAUGAACAACAAAACUUGGUGGCUCAGGAUGAAGAUUGAGUCAGAUUGGAUGCGAACCGCAGCCUUAGAAGUCAAGAAAGCAACAGUGAUCUUCAGACAGAAGACAGUAGUAAACCGCAGGCUUUCUGUUUAUUGACAAGUGCAGCAUUUUAAAUAAGUCAUUCUGGAAUAAUUUUAGGCUUGCAGAAGUUGAUGCCUCCCUUAGCUCCUUGCACUGUGCAUACCCUACAUAGCCACUGGAUGAAGGCAGAUGGCUGACGAGUGCUCCUUAGGAGAACUCGUGAUUGAGUACACACCUGCUUUGCAAACACGAUUUUCCCUGUCCCAUCUGUAUGUACUUCUUCUCCCUGUCUUUCUCCCUGUUUUUCUCCAAGUCCUGGAGCUCUUCAUGCUCAGGUGGUUUUCUCACAGUUCCACUAGUGCACAGCCUACUGUCCCGGGGAUGCUGUUCAAAAGCAGAUCCUCAAGGCAGUAGAUCUGGGUCACCUGAGGCCCAGCCUCUCCAAGUUCCAGGGGAUGCUGAGCCCUUCCCAACAGACCAAUUGUCUUCUCAGAAAUGAAAGGCAGCUUGUACCUGGAGUGUAGAAGUCUGCAACAGGUUGAGCUAAGUAGAUGAUCACGGCCACUUCAGAGGGGCCUGAUGAGGAGGAUACUCUCUAGACUUGCAGUUCUGUGGCUGCACCAUGGGCUGGGCCAAACUGUAGUGUCACCCUGGCACCUGUAGUGGGGGCACUGCCCCUGCUGUGCUGUCAGGAAAAGCUCUGGGCUUGUCUAAAACUCAGGAAACCCUCCUGCCUGUGCCUCCCAGGUGCUGGGAUUAUAGACCUAUGCAACCACAGAGCAGCCACCUUGUGUCUAUGAGGUACAUUGUUGCGAUGAGGAACUAGUACUGAUACACCAGCCUAACUGCAAUAACUCAAGUCCUACUAGCCCCUCAUGGCUUUCAGGAGCUCCCAGAUACAGGGUUUGCUCCAGACCCAGAGACUCUGAGCAUCUUGGCAGCUACUUCACCUGUGUCUCUCCCCGGGCAGUGUCUCCUGAAGUCCAUCACCAUGGCUCUGACCACGAGACGUGUGAUCUGAUUUAUGUGCAUCCCUGGAGAGAGGAGUCCAGCUCUGGAGCUGGGGUGGAGAGGGGUCAGGUUGUCCCCCUCCAGAGAUGGACGUGACCCGGGGCAGGAACAAUAACACCAAUGGUGAACAGAGAAGCCGUUGUUGGUCUACUACAGGUGCCCAGGAAGAGUUGCUUGGUGAAUGCGCUGUGGGCCCAGUGGAAUGGGGGAGGAGACAGGCUGCAUCUCGAAAACUGGAAAGAGCACAGUCUCCUCCCAUCUUUCACUUAGAAGGUGACUCUGAUGGUUAUAUGUGGGUAGCAAACUGGUGAGGAAAAAUGCAUUCAAUGCAAUAGAAUAUUAAGAUAUAAUGUCCUUUAAAUACACCAAUCAUAGCUCGGUCACAAUGGCUAAUACCUCAGAGCCACUUAGAAUGUAAAUCCCAAAGGCAGCACUGGCAAGCGUGAUAAAUGUGCACACUGACAUUCUAAGCAGUCAUGAGAAUUUUGUUUCUGAAAGAAAUGAUGACAUGGGGAAUGCUGAUACCAUUACAUUUUAAAAAGACAUAAAAUUAUGAGUGUGUACAAUGCAUAUAUACAGCACCAAGGCAGCCCUUUCAGGGAGGGCAUCUCCAGAACAUGUCUUCAUUCACUGGUGCUUUUCAGAUUCUUCAGAUUUUGAUCCUUUGUACUUUUGAGAUGAGCAGCAUUGUCAUAAUGGGAAAUUUAAAAUGAUGCAUACAGAGACUUUUUUUUUUCCAGUGGUGUGAAUAGCCCCUGCGCUCUGCCAGGAGGAGGGGCUGUAAGAUGCUGCAGCUGGGAAUCUCAGAAGUUGGGAGAGGUGGGGUUUGGGGAUCUGUGACACCAACUUUAAGCUGGGGGGUGGGUCACUUAGCGUCCUGAGCCCUUGCCUAGGGAGUGUCUUCACAUUAGUGGUCUAACUGCUCCUUGUGGCUUCAGGCUGUUUCUGAACCUUGUUUUUUAUUGUUGAAAUCACAGGGCAGCGAGUUGGCUCUGGAGAGUUAGUGCCGAACACUCACACUGGCCCAGCUUUCUGAGGCGGUGACCAGGAAAGCCAGCUCAGUCUCCCCCACCUCCUCUUUGGUUAAAUGAUCACUAGGAAUUCGCAAGUGGUUUUGGUGCCUCCAAGACACAAUACAGCAAGCUUUUGAUUUUUACUGCUUGAAAGACUAGAGGCAAAGCCCA